Long non-coding RNA from Cyprinus carpio (common carp), 539 nucleotides. Lineage: Eukaryota; Metazoa; Chordata; Actinopteri; Cypriniformes; Cyprinidae. The record is from Ensembl.
AUGUGUGCGGUUUCCAAGGCAACCACUUGUCCUGACCUCCCCAUCCCAAUCCUCCUCAGAAGUGUGGUGCUGCUUUCACGUGUGUCUUCAGAUGUGAAAGAGAAAGACGACAGGUCUCCACAGAAGGAUGUCGAGGGUCCCUUGGUUCUUCAGUUCCAGCUCCAGUUAAAGUGGGGGGAAAGAAGAGGCCUCCGGUUGAGAGACAAACGGUUCAUUCUGAAGUACGUAGAUCCAUGAAGAUGAACAUGAUAGCCAUGAGCAGCCAUUUAAACAUGUCCACUGUAGUAUAAAAUGAAUUCAGACAAGAUUCUAUGAAUAACCGACACAUGAUAAGCUUCAGCUCCGGCAUUAGUGGAACUGAUUUGUUUUAGAAAAGAGACUGGUCUAUGCCUCUACAAAUUGGUAGCAUAUUUAGCACAGUAGAGAAAUACUCAUUAGUCACUUGAUUGCACUAUUAAAGGGCACAAAAUUUUUGUGCUAAUUUUGUUUUUGAGAGGAGCAGAUCAGAAGAUUUAAUAAAGAAUAUAUAAAAACAACCA